Molecule: long non-coding RNA, 491 nt
Organism: Musa acuminata AAA Group (dessert banana)
Lineage: Eukaryota; Viridiplantae; Streptophyta; Magnoliopsida; Zingiberales; Musaceae
Exons: 3
Source: RefSeq, a predicted model, not a curated record
UGAGAAUCCUGGAAGUGCGAUCAAUAAUUGACUUUGUGCUCGCGGCGCCAGCGAAACCUAGCAAAGAUGGAGUUGAUUCUGAUGCCUUGAGCCAAAGAUGUUGAUAGAGUGGGCGACUCUGAAUGCUCUGAAGUUAAUACUUGGAGGGAGGGAGGGGCUCCUAAAGAAGCAUGCCGAGAUGGCAGCUGAGAUCAAGAAUCUUUAUACUGACCUGCAAAUGUUGUUAGCGAUAAUUACAAGUAGCACAUUUGCACCACCAACACCACCAAAGGAGCCUAUAAGACCAAAAAAAAUGCACCACGCAACGUACACAGAAACAUGAAAAUUUUAGAUUCAGUAGCCUCCGAAAGGAACAAACAAGUUAAAGUCUCACUGCCGAAUCUUCAGCUGACAGACAAAUGCUUCAUUAUUUCAAACAGUUUCCCAUGAGAAGACGACGUUAUUGUAACAGUCAGGAGAUUCAGAGGCCACAAGGCAGACAGGAAACAAAA